AGUGAACGCUGGCGGUAGGCCUAACACAUGCAAGUCGAACGGCAGCACAGUAAGAGCUUGCUCUUACGGGUGGCGAGUGGCGGACGAGUGAGGAAUACAUCGGAAUCUACUUUUUCGUGGGGGAUAACGUAGGGAAACUUACGCUAAUACCGCAUACGACCUACGGGUGAAAGCAGGGGAUCUUCGGACCUUUCGCGAUUGAAUGAGCCGAUGUCGGAUUAGCUAGUUGGCGGGGUAAAGGCCCACCAAGGCGACGAUCCGUAGCUGGUCUGAGAGGAUGAUCAGCCACACUGGAACUGAGACACGGUCCAGACUCCUACGGGAGGCAGCAGUGGGGAAUAUUGGACAAUGGGCGCAAGCCUGAUCCAGCCAUACCGCGUGGGUGAAGAAGGCCUUCGGGUUGUAAAGCCCUUUUGUUGGGAAAGAAAAGCAGCAGGUUAAUACCCCGCUGCUCUGACGGUACCCAAAGAAUAAGCACCGGCUAACUUCGUG
This 492-nucleotide ribosomal RNA is filed under the name uncultured bacterium. RNAcentral's name for it is "partial 16S ribosomal RNA". It matches the Rfam family "Bacterial small subunit ribosomal RNA", at positions 29 to 507 of the family's 1533-position model. The record is from RNAcentral.